CGCAAACACCAGUUCCCAUACAAUCACAGAAGUUAAGCAAUGUCGAGCCUUGUCAGUAUCUAGAUGAGUGACUGCUUUGAAAUAGCAGGUGCUGUAAG
This 98-nucleotide ribosomal RNA is filed under the name Acanthosepion pharaonis. Lineage: Eukaryota; Metazoa; Mollusca; Cephalopoda; Sepiida; Sepiidae. The record is from RNAcentral.